RNAcentral lists this ribosomal RNA (465 nucleotides) under Vreelandella stevensii. Its description in RNAcentral is "partial 16S ribosomal RNA". It matches the Rfam family "Bacterial small subunit ribosomal RNA", at positions 338 to 795 of the family's 1533-position model. Lineage: Bacteria; Pseudomonadati; Pseudomonadota; Gammaproteobacteria; Oceanospirillales; Halomonadaceae. The record is from RNAcentral.
CCUACGGGUGGCUGCAGUGGGGAAUAUUGGACAAUGGGGGCAACCCUGAUCCAGCCAUGCCGCGUGUGUGAAGAAGGCCCUCGGGUUGUAAAGCACUUUCAGUGAGGAAGAACGCCUGGUGGUUAAUACCCAUCAGGAAAGACAUCACUCACAGAAGAAGCACCGGCUAACUCCGUGCCAGCAGCCGCGGUAAUACGGAGGGUGCGAGCGUUAAUCGGAAUUACUGGGCGUAAAGCGCGCGUAGGUGGCUUGAUAAGCCGGUUGUGAAAGCCCCGGGCUCAACCUGGGAACGGCAUCCGGAACUGUCAAGCUAGAGUGCAGGAGAGGAAGGUAGAAUUCCCGGUGUAGCGGUGAAAUGCGUAGAGAUCGGGAGGAAUACCAGUGGCGAAGGCGGCCUUCUGGACUGACACUGACACUGAGGUGCGAAAGCGUGGGUAGCAAACAGAAUUAGAUACCCGAGUAGUC